UUUAAUAUGGCAGAUAAAGUGCAAUGGAAUUAAGAUCCAUAAAUUUAGUUUAUUACUUUUAUUAAAA
RNAcentral lists this transfer RNA (67 nucleotides) under Diadasia piercei. RNAcentral describes it as "tRNA-Leu". Lineage: Eukaryota; Metazoa; Arthropoda; Insecta; Hymenoptera; Apidae. The record is from RNAcentral.